AAGCGGAGGAAAAGAAACCAACAGGGAUUGCCUCAGUAACGGCGAGUGAAGCGGCAAAAGCUCAAAUUUGAAAUCCUUCGGGAGUUGUAAUUUGUAGGUUGGGAGACCCCGCGGCUAGUGGCACCAAGUCCCUUGGAACAGGGCGCCUUAGAGGGUGAGAGCCCCGUAGGUACCACAACACCGUCUUGUGUCUCCUCUCCAAAGAGUCGAGUUGUUUGGGAAUGCAGCUCAAAGUGGGUGGUAAAUUCCAUCUAAAGCUAAAUACCGGCGAGAGACCGAUAGCGAACAAGUACAGUGAUGGAAAGAUGAAAAGCACUUUGAAAAGAGAGUGAAACAGUACGUGAAAUUGUUGAAAGGGAAGGGCUUGCAAGCAGACACGGCCUUCGUGCCGGGCCAGCAUCGGUUGCUAGGGGUGGAUAAGGAACAAGGAAUGUAGCUCCUCGGAGUAUUAUAGCCUUGCGCGAUACACCCACUGGCGACCGAGGCCUGCGGUAUUCUUUACCUAGGAUGCU
RNAcentral lists this ribosomal RNA (512 nucleotides) under Sungouiella intermedia. RNAcentral describes it as "eukaryotic LSU rRNA". It matches the Rfam family "Eukaryotic large subunit ribosomal RNA", at positions 48 to 627 of the family's 3401-position model. Lineage: Eukaryota; Fungi; Ascomycota; Pichiomycetes; Serinales; Metschnikowiaceae. The record is from RNAcentral.